UGAAGGCUGGACUUAUCUGGCCUAAAUAGGAGCAGAUAUGGGGAUGUCUAGUGGCUGAGGAUGCUGUCUGGAGGAGACGUGCUUUCUUGUGACUGUCUUCCUUCCCGCUGCUGUUUUUGUGGCCUCAAAGGCAAACGCAGGAUAUUCCUCUUCCAGUUCCUUCAAUGCCUCUCCUUCUUCCAGUAUCUCUGAUCAAUCAAUCUGCAGUGAUGUCAGCAUUCCCAGAGAACUGAUAUAACUACUUGAAAGGAAAAGACAUCAAGACAGAGCACAUGCGAAAUUCUAUCUGUGUAAUGAAGAAUAUUCUUUGACUAUAAUGUUUCCAGUGUAAACUACUGAACUUGCAAACACCAAGUUGUGUGGGAGAUAAGCCAAGGCGAUGAAGUUCAUGCAAGAUGAGG
Myiozetetes cayanensis is the source of this 401-nucleotide long non-coding RNA. RefSeq lists it as uncharacterized. The transcript is spliced from 3 exons. NCBI's taxonomy places the organism in Eukaryota, Metazoa, Chordata, Aves, Passeriformes, Tyrannidae. The record is from RefSeq and is a predicted model, not a curated record.